UAAGGAAUAUUGGUCAAUGGACGCAAGUCUGAACCAGCCAUGCCGCGUGGAGGAUGAAGGUCCUCUGGAUUGUAAACUUCUUUUAUCUGGGACGAAACACUUCUUUUCUAAGAGGCCUGACGGUACCAGAUGAAUAAGCACCGGCUAACUCCGUGCCAGCAGCCGCGGUAAUACGGAGGGUGCAAGCGUUAUCCGGAUUCACUGGGUUUAAAGGGUGCGUAGGUGGGUAUGUAAGUCAGUGGUGAAAUCCCCGAGCUUAACUUGGGAACUGCCAUUGAUACUAUAUAUCUUGAAUACCGUAGAGGUGAGCGGAAUAUGACAUGUAGCGGUGAGAUGCUUAGAUAUGACAUGGAACACCAAUUGCGAAGGCAGCUUACUAUGCGGUGAUUGACACUGAGGCACGAAAGCGUGGGUAGCAAACA
RNAcentral lists this ribosomal RNA (422 nucleotides) under uncultured bacterium. RNAcentral describes it as "bacterial SSU rRNA". It matches the Rfam family "Bacterial small subunit ribosomal RNA", at positions 355 to 774 of the family's 1533-position model. The record is from RNAcentral.